GCAAAAUUAAAUAUGCGCAAAAAUGAAAAAAAUAUUUUAUCAGGUCACUAGCUAUAAUGAAAAAAGCGUUUAAAUUAGUUUCCGUAUCUGCAUAGGCUUUAUAUUUUAUUAAAUACAUAAUUUUUAUUUUAACAGUUAAGUUUUCAGUGUUAACAACGAUAACAGCUGUCGUCCGUCCUCGCACUUUGGCUCAAUGGACCUUCGUCAUUACAUUGUAAAGCUUCUGUAAGGGACCGACUUUUCUGUAAUAAAUUAACCCAAAUUAUCAUACAUGUUGACAACUAUUUGGUUUAUGACCUUUUGCUGUCCGCUGGCAAGUUUUUGCACGGAAAACUUAUUUGUUGGAGAAAGAUUAGGAAAAUUAAUUAUAUGCAUAAUUAGCAUAUUUUCUGUAAAUAUAAGCAUUUAUUCAUCUCAAUAUAUUAAAUAAUUGUGUUUGUA
Molecule: long non-coding RNA, 441 nt
Organism: Anthonomus grandis grandis
Lineage: Eukaryota; Metazoa; Arthropoda; Insecta; Coleoptera; Curculionidae
Exons: 2
Source: RefSeq, a predicted model, not a curated record